GACGAACGCUGGCGGCGUGCCUAAUACAUGCAAGUUGAGCGCUGAAGGUUGGUACUUGUACCAACUGGAUGAGCAGCGAACGGGUGAGUAACGCGUGGGGAAUCUGCCUUUGAGCGGGGGACAACAUUUGGAAACGAAUGCUAAUACCGCAUAAAAACUUUAAACACAAGUUUUAGGUUUGAAAGAUGCAAUUGCAUCACUCAAAGAUGAUCCCGCGUUGUAUUAGCUAGUUGGUGAGGUAAAGGCUCACCAAGGCGAUGAUACAUAGCCGACCUGAGAGGGUGAUCGGCCACAUUGGGACUGAGAAACGGCCCAAACUCCUACGGGAGGCAGCAGUAGGGAAUCUUCGGCAAUGGACGAAAGGCUGACCGAGCAACGCCGCGUGAGUGAAGAAGGUUUUCGGAUCGUAAAACUCUGUUGGUAGAGAAGAACGUUGGUGAGAGUGGAAAGCUCAUCAAGUGACGGUAACUACCCAGAAAGGGACGGCUAACUACGUG
This 497-nucleotide ribosomal RNA is filed under the name uncultured bacterium. RNAcentral's name for it is "partial 16S ribosomal RNA". It matches the Rfam family "Bacterial small subunit ribosomal RNA", at positions 28 to 507 of the family's 1533-position model. The record is from RNAcentral.